Molecule: long non-coding RNA, 618 nt
Filed under: Polistes fuscatus (common paper wasp)
Lineage: Eukaryota; Metazoa; Arthropoda; Insecta; Hymenoptera; Vespidae
Description: uncharacterized LOC122514310, transcript variant X2
Source: RNAcentral
CCCCAUUGACCAUUAUAGUAAUACUUAAUGAGGGUAAAUGAAAGACCGAAUUAUCGAGACGAAGUGCUUGAUCAUUAAAUUCUGAAUUCAAGUAUAAUGAACUUAUAUGUUGUUUCAUACUUAUUAUAUGUUUUCUCUUGAAACUGAGCAUCCUUUUGGUUACAGGAUAUAUAUGAGUAACAUUAAGUAACAGUUUAAAUUUUUUUUUAAAGCUAUUGACAGCAGCACAUGUAAUAGCUUUAUUUUCUUCAUUUAUAACUGUCUUCCCCGCAAAAAGAUAAGGUAUAGUAUAUGAAACUUGUAAAAAUCCAGUAUAACGUUCCACAUCAAAAUCAUAUUGUAAACGCAGAUUAUGACGAGUAUAAUUUAUCACACUUGAGUAUUGACAAGAAGGUAAUAUAAAUAGAGGAUUUGUUAUACGUUUAGUACCUUGGAUACAGCGAAGAAACAACUCAAAAUUUUCAGCUUCAGUUUUCUCAAAUGUAGUUUUUAUAUAGCGAGUAGUUUCGUCCAUUUUAAUUAUUAAUUAAUAAAUUAGUAAGAUAAAAUAAUUUGUUGAUUAAAUAGCCCUGAAACAUGUAUCGUAUUAAAAAAAUAAAAUAAAAUCAGUAUGUCCUA